AAAGUCGUAACAAGGUUUCCGUAGGUGAACCUGCGGAAGGAUCAUUAUAAGAGUUUAUGCCCUUAAAGGGUAUACCCUCCAACCCUUUGUUUUAAUUGACUUUGUUGCUUUGGCGGGGUUUGUUUUUAAAAAAGCUUUCCACCUGCCAGAGGAAAUUAAAACUCUGAAUAUUUUGUUGUCCGAGCUAUAAUAAUUUUAUAAAACUUUCAACAACGGAUCUCUUGGUUCUG
Molecule: unclassified non-coding RNA, 230 nt
Filed under: Ascomycota sp.
Lineage: Eukaryota; Fungi; Ascomycota
Description: partial contains small subunit ribosomal RNA, internal transcribed spacer 1, and 5.8S ribosomal RNA
Rfam family: Eukaryotic small subunit ribosomal RNA (bases 1-47)
Source: RNAcentral